ACCUGCCCUUAACUCUGGGAUAAGCCUGGGAAACUGGGUCUAAUACCGGAUAGGAGCGUCCACCGCAUGGUGGGUGUUGGAAAGAUUUUCGGUUUUGGAUGGACUCGCGGCCUAUCAGCUUGUUGGUGAGGUAAUAGCUCACCAAGGCGACGACGGGUAGCCGGCCUGAGCGGGUGACCGGCCACACUGGGACUGAGACACGGCCCAGACUCCUACGGGAGGCAGCAGUGGGGAAUAUUGCACAAUGGGCGCAAGCCUGAUGCAGCGACGCCGCGUGAGGGAUGACGGCCUUCGGGUUGUAAACCUCUUUCAGUAGGGAAGAAGAAAUGACGGUACCUGCAGAAGAAGCACCGGCUAACUACGUGCCAGCAGCCGCGGUAAUACGUAGGGUGCGAGCGUUAUCCGGAAUUAUUGGGCGUAAAGAGCUCGUAGGCGGUUUGUCGCGUCUGUCGUGAAAGUCCGGGGCUUAACCCCGGAUCUGCGGUGGGUACGGGCAGACUAGAGUGCAGUAGGGGAGACUGGAAUUCCUGGUGUAGCGGUGGAAUGCGCAGAUAUCAGGAGGAACACCGAUGGCGAAGGCAGGUCUCUGGGCUUUAACUGACGCUGAGGAGCGAAAGCAUCGGGAGCGAACAGGAUUAGAUACCCUGGUAGUCCAUGCCGUAAACGUUGGGCACUAGGUGUGGGGACCUUCCACGGUUUCGCGCCGCAGCUAACGCAUUAAGUGCCCCGCCUGGGGAGUACGGCCGCAAGGCUAAAACUCAAAGGAAUUGACGGGGGCCCGCACAAGCGGCGGAGCAUGCGGAUUAAUUCGAUGCAACGCGAAGAACCUUACCAAGGCUUGACAUGUCUCGAUCGCCGUAGAGAUACGGUUUCCCUUUGGGCGGGUUCACAGGUGGUGCAUGGUUGUCGUCAGCUCGUGUCGKGAGAUGUUGGGUUAAGUCCCGCAACGAGCGCAACCCUCGUUCCAUGUUGCCAGCACUCGUGUGGGGACUCAUGGGAGACUGCCGGGGUCAACUCGGAGGAAGGUGAGGACGACGUCAAAUCAUCAUGCCCCUUAUGUCUUGGGCUUCACGCAUGCUACAAUGGCCGGUACAAUGGGUUGCGAUACUGUGAGGUGGAGCUAAUCCCAAAAAGCCGGUCUCAGUUCGGAUUGGGGUCUGCAACUCGACCCCAUGAAGUCGGAGUCGCUAGUAAUCGCAGAUCAGCACGCUGCGGUGAAUACGUUCCCGGGCCUUGUACACACCGCCCGUCAAGUCACGAAAGUUGGUAACACCCGAAGCCGGUGGCCUAACC
This 1293-nucleotide ribosomal RNA is filed under the name Micrococcus sp. Its description in RNAcentral is "bacterial SSU rRNA". Lineage: Bacteria; Bacillati; Actinomycetota; Actinomycetes; Micrococcales; Micrococcaceae. The record is from RNAcentral.